This 500-nucleotide ribosomal RNA is filed under the name uncultured bacterium. RNAcentral's name for it is "partial 16S ribosomal RNA". It matches the Rfam family "Bacterial small subunit ribosomal RNA", at positions 30 to 523 of the family's 1533-position model. The record is from RNAcentral.
AUUGAACGCUGGCGGAAUGCUUUACACAUGCAAGUCGAACGGCAGCACGGACUUCGGUCUGGUGGCGAGUGGCGAACGGGUGAGUAGUGUAUCGGAACGUGCCCAGUCGUGGGGGAUAACGUAGUGAAAAUUACGCUAAUACCGCAUACGAUCUAUGGAUGAAAGCGGGGGAUCGCAAGACCUCGCGCGAUUGGAGCGGCCGAUAUCAGAUUGGGUAGUUGGUGGGGUAAAGGCCCACCAAGCCAACGAUCUGUAGCUGGUCUGAGAGGACGACCAGCCACACUGGAACUGGGACACGGUCCAGACUCCUACGGGAGGCAGCAGUGGGGAAUUUUGGACAAUGGGCGAAAGCCUGAUCCAGCCAUUCCGCGUGCAGGAUGAAGGCCCUCGGGUUGUAAACUGCUUUUGUACAGAACGAAAAGGUUUCUACUAAUACUAGGAGCUCAUGACGGUACUGUAAGAAUAAGCACCGGCUAACUACGUGCCAGCCGCCGCGGUAA